This is a long non-coding RNA of Amphimedon queenslandica, 435 nucleotides long. RefSeq lists it as uncharacterized. The record is from RefSeq and is a predicted model, not a curated record. Lineage: Eukaryota; Metazoa; Porifera; Demospongiae; Haplosclerida; Niphatidae. The transcript is spliced from 6 exons.
AAAUUAAUAUCAUAGGUCAUAAUCCAGCCCUGAUUAAAGGGGAGAUUGGCAUACAUUUUACAAGUAGGAAUUCAAGAGGAAAUAGUUGGCACUGAGGUUCGUUUUAAGUGUCAUUUGAAAAGUCGCAGAUUCAUGCAUGCGUGGUAUUUACAAUCGCAGCCUAAUUUAUAGGCAUCAGAUGAUAUUUGUUUUAGUGAUAACAAAUGUUCCUUUAUAACUCUUCAUAUAGAAAGAUGCAAGAUGUAAUUAAGCAAUUCAGCAUUUCAAAGGACUAGUUAGAACAAGGAAGGGAUACAUAAUAUACUCUAGGUUUCUUGGAUUUUGAAGUUACGUACAAAUCACUUAUCAUUGAAAGAAACAUUUUAAACUCUUAUUUUUAACACUAUUGGUUUUUCCUCUGUAAUUAUAACCAAUAAAAUUAAAAUUAAUUGUGAA